GAUGAACGCUAGCGAUAGGCUUAACACAUGCAAGUCGAGGGGUAACGUGUUGGAAGCUUGCUUCCGAUGACGACGACCGGCGGAUGGGUGCGUAACGCGUAUGCAACUUGCCUCACAGUGGAGAAUAACCCGAAGAAAUCCGGACUAAUACUCCAUACACUCUUAAGUACGCCUGUACAUGAGAGGAAAGAUUUAUCGCUGUGAGAUAGGCAUGCGUCCUAUUAGGUAGUUGGUGAGGUAACGGCUCACCAAGCCGACGAUAGGUAGGGGUGCUGAGAGGCAGAUCCCCCACAUUGGGACUGAGACACGGCCCAACCUCCGACGGGAGGCAGCAGUGAGGAAUAUUAGUCAAUGGAGGAAACUCUGAACCAGCCAAGUCGCGUGAAGGAAGAAUGUCCUAAGGAUUGUAAACUUCUUUAGCGAGCGAGUAAGGACUUCCACGUGAUGGGAGUUUGAAGGUAGCUCGAGAAUAAGUAUCGGCUAACUCCGUG
This 491-nucleotide ribosomal RNA is filed under the name uncultured bacterium. RNAcentral describes it as "partial 16S ribosomal RNA". It matches the Rfam family "Bacterial small subunit ribosomal RNA", at positions 28 to 507 of the family's 1533-position model. The record is from RNAcentral.